RNAcentral lists this ribosomal RNA (495 nucleotides) under uncultured bacterium. RNAcentral describes it as "partial 16S ribosomal RNA". It matches the Rfam family "Bacterial small subunit ribosomal RNA", at positions 29 to 506 of the family's 1533-position model. The record is from RNAcentral.
AACGAACGCUGGCGGCGCGUCUUAAGCAUGCAAGUCGAACGGCAAGAGAGGAGCUUGCUUCUCUCCUAGAGUGGCGGACUGGUGAGGAACACGUGGGUAAUCUACCCUUAAGAUGGGGAUAGCUGCUAGAAAUAGCAGGUAAUACCGAAUACACUCGGCAUAUCACAAGAGGUGUUGAGGAAAGGAAGCUACGGCUUCGCUUGAGGAUGAGCUUGCGUCCCAUUAGCUAGUUGGUGAGGUAAAGGCCCACCAAGGCGACGAUGGGUAUCCGGCCUGAGAGGGUGAACGGACACAUUGGGACUGAGAUACGGCCCAAACUCCUACGGGAGGCAGCAGCUAAGAAUAUUCCGCAAUGGACGGAAGUCUGACGGAGCGACGCCGCGUGGAUGAAGAAGGCUGAAAAGUUGUAAAAUCCUUUUGUUGAUGAAGAAUAAGGGUGAGAGGGAAUGCUCAUCUGAUGACGGUAAUCGACGAAUAAGCCCCGGCGAAUUACGU